GCGAGCGAUGGCGCUUAUGUCCACUACGACACUACAGCUGCAUGAGCAUAGAGUGAGACAAUGUGACAUCUUAUAGAAGUUAGCGGCGGACGGGUGAGUAACACGUGGGUAACCUGCCCAUAAGACUGGGAUAACUCCGGGAAACCGGGGCUAAUACCGGAUAACAUUUUGAACCGCAUGGUUCGAAAUUGAAAGGCGGCUUCGGCUGUCACUUAUGGAUGGACCCGCGUCGCAUUAGCUAGUUGGUGAGGUAACGGCUCACCAAGGCAACGAUGCGUAGCCGACCUGAGAGGGUGAUCGGCCACACUGGGACUGAGACACGGCCCAGACUCCUACGGGAGGCAGCAGUAGGGAAUCUUCCGCAAUGGACGAAAGUCUGACGGAGCAACGCCGCGUGAGUGAUGAAGGCUUUCGGGUCGUAAAACUCUGUUGUUAGGGAAGAACAAGUGCUAGUUGAAUAAGCUGGCACCUUGACGGUACCUAACCAGAAAGCCACGGCUAACUACGUGCCAGCAGCCGCGGUAAUACGUAGGUGGCAAGCGUUAUCCGGAAUUAUUGGGCGUAAAGCGCGCGCAGGUGGUUUCUUAAGUCUGAUGUGAAAGCCCACGGCUCAACCGUGGAGGGUCAUGGGAAACUGGGAGACUUGAGUGCAGAAGAGGAAAGUGGAAUCCAUGUGUAGCGGUGAAAUGCGUAGAGAUAUGGAGGAACACCAGUGGCGAAGGCGACUUUCUGGUCUGUACCUGACCCUGAGGCGCGAAAGCGU
Molecule: ribosomal RNA, 763 nt
Filed under: Bacillus sp. D3-B
Lineage: Bacteria; Bacillati; Bacillota; Bacilli; Caryophanales; Bacillaceae
Description: bacterial SSU rRNA
Rfam family: Bacterial small subunit ribosomal RNA
Source: RNAcentral